UCCAACAGUUAUUUUAUUAGGAUGUCAGCCCUGGGUCCAGAGUGAGAGAUAGGGACAGGGGACAGCCCAGCGAGGCUGGGUCGGGGGUCACCCCAGGAUGUUCCAACCACAGGGGCAGCAUCUCCUCCACUCCACAUGCUGGCCAAGGGCACAGAGCUGCCGUAUCGCCUGCCAAGGGGGUGGCUCAAUGCUGCUGCCCUGGUCCUGUAUGGGCCCGGGGUGCCGAGAACAGACAGCAAGCCUCAGGCGCCGGUCCUUUGAGCUUUCUUGAUUUCCUCAGAGAGCGCCUCCUUCAGCUCUGCGUAGGCCUGGUCCAGGCUGUCGUUAAUGAUGACCACAUCAAACAGGCCGGGCUCCUUGCUGCUCUCCAUGUCGGCCUGGGCAGCAGCCAGCCGCUUCACCAGGCUCUCCUCGGUUUCAGUGUUGCGCUGCCGCAGCCGCUGCUCCAGCACGUGCAGUGAAGGCGGCUGCACAGAGAUGUAGAUGGGCCGCAGAUCGGUGGCCUUGAUGUUCCGCACACCCUGCAGGUCCACGUCCAGCACACAGAUGCGGUUCAUGGCCUGCACGGCCUGCACCGCCACCUUGCUCGUGCCAUACAGGUUCCCCGAGAACUCGGCAUGCUCGAUGAAGUCGCCGGCUGCUAUGUCACGCUGCAUCACCUCCCUGGUUACAAAGUAGUAAUCUUUGCCGUUCUCCUCGCCGGGCCUCGGGUUCCUCGUGGUAUGGGACACGCUGAAGCCAAAGAUGCCGCUGUGCUCCUGGAGCAGCCUCUUCAGCAGGGUGCUCUUCCCAGCUCCCGAAGGCCCGCUCAGCACCACAGGCCUGGGGCCCGACAUGCCUGUUUGCUGAGGUGCAGCCUCUGUAGUCAGCCUGGGGUGGGUCUGUCUGCUGGACUGAGAGCUGGGGGUGCUGAGUCCCUAAUCCCCACUACGCCUGCUUCUGGCCCCACCCUU
This 953-nucleotide long non-coding RNA is filed under the name Homo sapiens (human). RNAcentral's name for it is "LNC_000414". The record is from RNAcentral. Lineage: Eukaryota; Metazoa; Chordata; Mammalia; Primates; Hominidae.